This 460-nucleotide ribosomal RNA is filed under the name uncultured bacterium. RNAcentral describes it as "bacterial SSU rRNA". It matches the Rfam family "Bacterial small subunit ribosomal RNA", at positions 28 to 507 of the family's 1533-position model. The record is from RNAcentral.
GACGAACGCUGGCGGCGUGCCUAACACAUGCAAGUCGAGCGAUGAAGUUCUUCGGAACGGAUUAGCGGCGGACGGGUGAGUAACACGUGGGUAACCUGCCUUGUAGAGGGGGAUAGCCUUCCGAAAGGAAGAUUAAUACCGCAUAACAUCUUUUUAUCGCAUGGUAGAAAGAUCAAAGGAGCAAUCCGCUACAAGAUGGACCCGCGGCGCAUUAGCUAGUUGGUGAGGUAACGGCUCACCAAGGCGACGAUGCGUAGCCGACCUGAGAGGGUGAUCGGCCACAUUGGAACUGAGACACGGUCCAGACUCCUACGGGAGGCAGCAGUGGGGAAUAUUGCGCAAUGGGGGAAACCCUGACGCAGCAACGCCGCGUGAAUGAAGAAGGCCUUAGGGUUGUAAAGUUCUGUUUACGGGGACGAUAAUGACGGUACCCGUGGAGGAAGCCACGGCUAACUACGUG